Molecule: ribosomal RNA, 253 nt
Filed under: uncultured bacterium
Lineage: Bacteria
Description: partial 16S ribosomal RNA
Rfam family: Bacterial small subunit ribosomal RNA
Source: RNAcentral
UACGGGGGGGGCAAGCGUUGUUCGGAAUUACUGGGCGUAAAGGGUGCGUAGGCGGCUUUCUAAGUUGGAUGUGAAAACUCUGGGCUCAACCCAGAGCCUGCAUCCAAAACUGGAGAGCUAGGGUUCUGGAGGGGAAAGCGGAAUUCCUGGUGUAGCGGUGAAAUGCGUAGAUAUCAGGAGGAACACCGGUGGCGAAGGCGGCUUUCUGGACAGAUACCGACGCUGAGGCACGAAAGCUAGGGGAGCAAACAGG